RNAcentral lists this small RNA (501 nucleotides) under uncultured Gigaspora. RNAcentral describes it as "SSU rRNA". It matches the Rfam family "Eukaryotic small subunit ribosomal RNA", at positions 569 to 1075 of the family's 1831-position model. Lineage: Eukaryota; Fungi; Glomeromycota; Glomeromycetes; Diversisporales; Gigasporaceae. The record is from RNAcentral.
AGCAGCCGCGGUAAUUCCAGCUCCAAUAGCGUAUAUUAAAGUUGUUGCAGUUAAAAAGCUCGUAGUUGAAUUUCGGGGUUCUACCGUUGGUCGGGCUAUAGUCUGUACUGGCGUGUGGAAUUUCUACCUUCUGGGGAACUAUCAUGUUAUUAAUUUAGCGUGGUAGGAAACCAGAACCUUUACCUUGAAAAAAUUAGAGUGUUCAAAGCAGGCUUACGUCUGAAUACAUUAGCAUGGAAUAAUAAAAUAGGACGGUGGUCCUGUUUUGUUGGUUUCUGAAUCACCGUAAUGAUUAAUAGGGAUAGUUGGGGGCAUUAGUAUUCAAUUGUCAGAGGUGAAAUCCUUGGAUUUAUUGAAGACUAACUACUGCGAAAGCAUUUGCCAAGGAUGUUUUCAUUAAUCAAGAACGAAAGUUAGGGGAUCGAAGACGAUCAGAUACCGUCGUAGUCUUAACCAUAAACUAUGCCGACUAGGGAUCGGAUGAUGUUAAUUUUUAAUGAC